This 300-nucleotide ribosomal RNA is filed under the name uncultured Colwelliaceae bacterium. Its description in RNAcentral is "bacterial SSU rRNA". It matches the Rfam family "Bacterial small subunit ribosomal RNA", at positions 115 to 418 of the family's 1533-position model. Lineage: Bacteria; Pseudomonadati; Pseudomonadota; Gammaproteobacteria; Alteromonadales; Colwelliaceae. The record is from RNAcentral.
GCUUGGGAAUAUGCCUUGAGGUGGGGAACAACAGUUGGAAACAACUGCUAAUACCGCAUAAUGUCUACGGACCAAAGGAGGGGAUCUUCGGACCUUUCGCCUUUAGAUUAGCCCAAGUGAGAUUAGCUAGAUGGUGGGGUAAUGGCCUACCAUGGCGACAAUCUCUAGCUGGUUUGAGAGGAUGAUCAGCCACACUGGGACUGAGACACGGCCCAGACUCCUACGGGAGGCAGCAGUGAGGAAUAUUGGACAAUGGAGGCAACUCUGAUCCAGCCAUGCCGCGUGCAGGAAGACUGCCCU